Molecule: ribosomal RNA, 3005 nt
Filed under: Salmonella enterica subsp. enterica serovar Typhimurium
Lineage: Bacteria; Pseudomonadati; Pseudomonadota; Gammaproteobacteria; Enterobacterales; Enterobacteriaceae
Description: 23S ribosomal RNA
Rfam family: Bacterial large subunit ribosomal RNA
Source: RNAcentral
GGGUUGUGAGGUUAAGCGACUAAGCGUACACGGUGGAUGCCCUGGCAGUCAGAGGCGAUGAAGGGCGUGCUAAUCUGCGAUAAGCGCCGGUAAGGUGAUAUGAACCGUUAUAACCGGCGAUACCCGAAUGGGGAAACCCAGUGUGAUUCGUCACACUAUCAUUAACUGAAUCCAUAGGUUAAUGAGGCGAACCGGGGGAACUGAAACAUCUAAGUACCCGAGGAAAAGAAAUCAACCGAGAUUCCCCAGUAGCGGCGAGCGAACGGGGAGGAGCCCAGAGCCUGAAUCAGCAUGUGUGUUAGUGGAAGCGUCUGGAAAGGCGCGCGAUACAGGGUGACAGCCCCGUACACAAAAGCGCAUGUGCUGUGAGCUCGAUGAGUAGGGCGGGACACGUGGUAUCCUGUCUGAAUAUGGGGGACCAUCCUCCAAGGCUAAAUACUCCUGACUGACCGAUAGUGAACCAGUACCGUGAGGGAAAGGCGAAAAGAACCCCGGCGAGGGGAGUGAAAAAGAACCUGAAACCGUGUACGUACAAGCAGUGGGAGCACCCUUCGGGGUGUGACUGCGUACCUUUUGUAUAAUGGGUCAGCGACUUAUAUUCUGUAGCAAGGUUAACCGUAUAGGGGAGCCGGAGGGAAACCGAGUCUUAACCGGGCGUUAAGUUGCAGGGUAUAGACCCGAAACCCGGUGAUCUAGCCAUGGGCAGGUUGAAGGUUGGGUAACACUAACUGGAGGACCGAACCGACUAAUGUUGAAAAAUUAGCGGAUGACCUGUGGCUGGGGGUGAAAGGCCAAUCAAACCGGGAGAUAGCUGGUUCUCCCCGAAAGCUAUUUAGGUAGCGCCUCGUGAAUUCAUCUCCGGGGUAGAGCACUGUUUCGGCUAGGGGGCCAUCCCGGCUUACCAACCCGAUGCAAACUGCGAAUACCGGAGAAUGUUAUCACGGGAGACACACGGCGGGUGCUAACGUCCGUCGUGAAGAGGGAAACAACCCAGACCGCCAGCUAAGGUCCCAAAGUCAUGGUUAAGUGGGAAACGAUGUGGGAAGGCCCAGACAGCCAGGAUGUUGGCUUAGAAGCAGCCAUCAUUUAAAGAAAGCGUAAUAGCUCACUGGUCGAGUCGGCCUGCGCGGAAGAUGUAACGGGGCUAAACCAUGCACCGAAGCUGCGGCAGCGAACGUAUCACCCAAGACAACUUUACGGAGUUGACGAUUGACGGAGCGAAGCGACGUCAAAGCGUUCAUUAAAGUCGAGUUGGCUUAGGGAUACGUUCGUUGGGUAGGGGAGCGUUCUGUAAGCCUGUGAAGGUGUGUCGUGAGGCAUGCUGGAGGUAUCAGAAGUGCGAAUGCUGACAUAAGUAACGAUAAAGCGGGUGAAAAGCCCGCUCGCCGGAAGACCAAGGGUUCCUGUCCAACGUUAAUCGGGGCAGGGUGAGUCGACCCUAAGGCGAGGCCGAAAGGCGUAGUCGAUGGGAAACGGGUUAAUAUUCCCGUACUUGGUGUUACUGCGAAGGGGGGACGGAGAAGGCUAUGUUGGCCGGGCGACGGUUGUCCCGGUUUAAGCGUGUAGGUGUGUGUUCCAGGUAAAUCCGGUUCACUUUAACACUGAGGCGUGACGACGAGGCACUACGGUGCUGAAGCAACAAAUGCCCUGCUUCCAGGAAAAGCCUCUAAGCAUCAGGUAACACGAAAUCGUACCCCAAACCGACACAGGUGGUCAGGUAGAGAAUACCAAGGCGCUUGAGAGAACUCGGGUGAAGGAACUAGGCAAAAUGGUGCCGUAACUUCGGGAGAAGGCACGCUGACACGUAGGUGAAGUGAUUUACUCAUGGAGCUGAAGUCAGUCGAAGAUACCAGCUGGCUGCAACUGUUUAUUAAAAACACAGCACUGUGCAAACACGAAAGUGGACGUAUACGGUGUGACGCCUGCCCGGUGCCGGAAGGUUAAUUGAUGGGGUCAGCGUAAGCGAAGCUCCUGAUCGAAGCCCCGGUAAACGGCGGCCGUAACUAUAACGGUCCUAAGGUAGCGAAAUUCCUUGUCGGGUAAGUUCCGACCUGCACGAAUGGCGUAAUGAUGGCCAGGCUGUCUCCACCCGAGACUCAGUGAAAUUGAACUCGCUGUGAAGAUGCAGUGUACCCGCGGCAAGACGGAAAGACCCGUGAACCUUUACUAUAGCUUGACACUGAACAUUGAGCCUUGAUGUGUAGGAUAGGUGGGAGGCUUUGAAGUGUGGACGCCAGUCUGCAUGGAGCCGACCUUGAAAUACCACCCUUUAAUGUUUGAUGUUCUAACGUGGACCCGUAAUCCGGGUUGCGGACAGUGUCUGGUGGGUAGUUUGACUGGGGCGGUCUCCUCCUAAAGAGUAACGGAGGAGCACGAAGGUUGGCUAAUCCUGGUCGGACAUCAGGAGGUUAGUGCAAUGGCAUAAGCCAGCUUGACUGCGAGCGUGACGGCGCGAGCAGGUGCGAAAGCAGGUCAUAGUGAUCCGGUGGUUCUGAAUGGAAGGGCCAUCGCUCAACGGAUAAAAGGUACUCCGGGGAUAACAGGCUGAUACCGCCCAAGAGUUCAUAUCGACGGCGGUGUUUGGCACCUCGAUGUCGGCUCAUCACAUCCUGGGGCUGAAGUAGGUCCCAAGGGUAUGGCUGUUCGCCAUUUAAAGUGGUACGCGAGCUGGGUUUAGAACGUCGUGAGACAGUUCGGUCCCUAUCUGCCGUGGGCGCUGGAGAACUGAGGGGGGCUGCUCCUAGUACGAGAGGACCGGAGUGGACGCAUCACUGGUGUUCGGGUUGUCAUGCCAAUGGCACUGCCCGGUAGCUAAAUGCGGAAGAGAUAAGUGCUGAAAGCAUCUAAGCACGAAACUUGCCCCGAGAUGAGUUCUCCCUGAGACUUAGAGUCUCCUGAAGGAACGUUGAAGACGACGACGUUGAUAGGCCGGGUGUGUAAGCGCAGCGAUGCGUUGAGCUAACCGGUACUAAUGAACCGUGAGGCUUAACCUUACAACGCCGAAG